UGUGAUUGCUCGCAAAAUUUGCCUGACGACUACAUCACAGUAGAAACACAAUGGUCAUCGGAACUAUUACUCGAGGAAAAUAAAAAUCAUCCGCAUAACACCUACAACUACAACCACACCAGCACCAGGGCCAAUUACAUUGUUCAUCUCACUACUGUACUACGACCCAACUAUCUCAAGAAGAAUAAAAAAUGAUACGACUUUUGUAUAACAAUAGCAGGUCUCAAUCCUGCGAAUACUCCAGCACCUGCCCCUCUAAAAGCCUCUGCAUUCCGUUCAAUUUAUCCACCAUUCCUUUCAACUUUUCCGGCACCGAGUUUCUGAAUUUGGGGUCGAGUGUAUACGACAGAUCGUGUUGCAGGAUGUUUCGUGCUCGAGAGGUAUCGCCAGAUGGGGGACAGCCAUAGCAACCAUGAAGGGUUCGGCGCUUUGUGGUGGGAUCAUAGCUUCCUAUGUGGACUACAACUUAGGCCUCAGCUCGGUUCUGGAGAGAAAGUCAUGUUGUGUUGUGAGCCGGUGAAAAUCAACGACGACGUACUGAUGUGGUUGUUGUAGAACACCGUUUCGCCAGCCUUGAGCUUUACCUUGAUACCACCUGGCAUUUCUCCCUCUCCCAGCAGUGCCUUCUUUUCAUCGGGAGUGCUUACUCUGAGAUGCGAUUUAGGUACGACAGAGAGACACUCGUCGUCGUAUAGAGCAGCAUUCCAUUGGAUGCCAUGAUAGUCUUUCUGCAGAGCUGCGAUUUCCUCUUGGGGAGUGGCUGUGGGCUUGACAUCGUCUCGAUGCCAUACAAGGGUAUAAGCUGCGUUGGUGGGAUUGAUGAGGAGGUUAAACAGUUCUGUGAUGGAUAAUUUAGCCUCCUGAAAGCGUCAUUGUGGCGACCAAAAAUGGAUCAAGUGUGCUCACCGAACUGCAUAUCCUCCUGUUCACAACCCAUCAAAGCUCUUGAUACCUCCAGCAUCUCUUCGCUCCCAUACCAUUCCGCAAACACCUUCUGCCCCAAGUCCGGAUGCAUUACAUUCUGUACACCCCAGAUAUCCUCUUUAUCCUUUGCGUCCCAGGGCGGGAACGGUUUACCUACAAUGCGGACGUUGUCCCAUUUGCCCGAACGGGAUAGAUUGACAAUGUGGUCUGCAGAUUCACGGAGAAGGGGGAAGAGAUGGUCAGGAAUGAGGGAAGGGACGAUCACAUAACCGUGGGUGUGGUAGUGUUCACGGAAAGAAGAGAGUUCGUCGGGAUUGAACUGUGACAUUGUAAUGGGCUAGGUUGAGGUUGCUGCCAUAUAGAUGAAAGAGGCAUGGAGAUGCAAUGUGGCGAGAUAGCAUGGGUUUUUAUAGCAUAUCGGCGGGCGAAACAUAUGAC
RNAcentral lists this small RNA (1362 nucleotides) under Cryptococcus neoformans H99. RNAcentral's name for it is "Cryptococcus neoformans var. grubii H99 hypothetical RNA". The record is from RNAcentral. Lineage: Eukaryota; Fungi; Basidiomycota; Tremellomycetes; Tremellales; Cryptococcaceae.